Molecule: ribosomal RNA, 686 nt
Filed under: uncultured Lachnospiraceae bacterium
Lineage: Bacteria; Bacillati; Bacillota; Clostridia; Lachnospirales; Lachnospiraceae
Description: bacterial SSU rRNA
Rfam family: Bacterial small subunit ribosomal RNA
Source: RNAcentral
ACAUGCAAGUCGAACGGGAAUUACUUUAUUGAAACUUCGGUCGAUUUAAUUUAAUUCUAGUGGCGGACGGGUGAGUAACGCGUGGGUAACCUGCCUUAUACAGGGGGAUAACAGUCAGAAAUGGCUGCUAAUACCGCAUAAGCGCACAGAGCUGCAUGGCUCAGUGUGAAAAACUCCGGUGGUAUAAGAUGGACCCGCGUUGGAUUAGCUGGUUGGUGGGGUAACGGCCCACCAAGGCGACGAUCCAUAGCCGGCCUGAGAGGGUGAACGGCCACAUUGGGACUGAGACACGGCCCAGACUCCUACGGGAGGCAGCAGUGGGGAAUAUUGCACAAUGGGGGAAACCCUGAUGCAGCGACGCCGCGUGAAGGAAGAAGUAUCUCGGUAUGUAAACUUCUAUCAGCAGGGAAGAUAGUGACGGUACCUGACUAAGAAGCCCCGGCUAACUACGUGCCAGCAGCCGCGGUAAUACGUAGGGGGCAAGCGUUAUCCGGAUUUACUGGGUGUAAAGGGAGCGUAGACGGUGUGGCAAGUCUGAUGUGAAAGGCAUGGGCUCAACCUGUGGACUGCAUUGGAAACUGUCAUACUUGAGUGCCGGAGGGGUAAGCGGAAUUCCUAGUGUAGCGGUGAAAUGCGUAGAUAUUAGGAGGAACACCAGUGGCGAAGGCGGCUUACUGGACGGUAAC